This 430-nucleotide long non-coding RNA is filed under the name Parus major (Great Tit). Its description in RNAcentral is "lncRNA (ENSPMJG00000015394.1)". Lineage: Eukaryota; Metazoa; Chordata; Aves; Passeriformes; Paridae. The record is from RNAcentral.
GAGCUCUAAUUUUUUAAGAUACUUCAAGUAACACAUUCAAAUUUAGUUCUGAUUUUUUUUAGGUUACAUCAAGCAACAGCAAUGCCACAUCUGAGACUUAGGACCUGAAAUACACCAUUCCUCUGGUUGCCACAGCAAGUCCCAAGCAGCAGGGAAUUACAGCAGCUGGGAAUUCUGCCAUGGAGACAAAAGGAAUUAUCAAGGACUCCACUGGUGAGAAACAACAGUUUGUGAUAUACAAUGCCACAGAACACCAGGUAGUAACAACAGAAGAAAAGGAAAUCUGCUGUUUGCUUUCACUGCUUGCAGAUUCAGAAGUUGCUGACAGGUGAGAACAAUUUUCCUAUCUUUGCUGCAACAUCCCUGCAGUAAACGGAAAUUUUCAGCAGCAUGCACUCGGCAUAAAAAGCAAAAUCAUCCAAUAAAACCA